AACCUGUAACAUAUAAUAUGUACAUAAAAAAAGGCAUAAGUAAUUUUUAAAUUCAAUGAGACCACUUAUAAGAUGCAUUUUGGGAAGGGAAAUUACAAUAAUCUUCAAAACUUGUAGGUCAAAGUGCUACAGAAGAUUACAGUUAGGGCAGCUGUUUCACGUUGUAGAUAUGUCGGUCCAUAUUGUGCACCAAGUAAUCAUAAUUCAGUAAUCAUUGCAUAA
Rhododendron vialii is the source of this 222-nucleotide long non-coding RNA. RefSeq lists it as uncharacterized. The transcript has 2 exons. The record is from RefSeq and is a predicted model, not a curated record. Lineage: Eukaryota; Viridiplantae; Streptophyta; Magnoliopsida; Ericales; Ericaceae.